Molecule: transfer RNA, 74 nt
Filed under: Spirochaetales bacterium
Lineage: Bacteria; Pseudomonadati; Spirochaetota; Spirochaetia; Spirochaetales
Also listed under: 1 other name
Description: tRNA-Val
Rfam family: tRNA
About the family: Transfer RNA (tRNA) molecules are approximately 80 nucleotides in length. Their secondary structure includes four short double-helical elements and three loops (D, anti-codon, and T loops). Further hydrogen bonds mediate the characteristic L-shaped molecular structure. tRNAs have two regions of fundamental functional importance: the anti-codon, which is responsible for specific mRNA codon recognition, and the 3' end, to which the tRNAs corresponding amino acid is attached (by aminoacyl-tRNA synthetases). tRNAs cope with the degeneracy of the genetic code in two manners: having more than one tRNA (with a specific anti-codon) for a particular amino acid; and 'wobble' base-pairing, i.e. permitting non-standard base-pairing at the 3rd anti-codon position.
Source: RNAcentral
GGGUGAUUAGCUCAGAUGGUCAGAGCACAUGCUUCACAUGCAUGGGGUCACUGGUUCAAAUCCAGUAUCACCCA